GAGAAGCAUUAACUUGUCUUAUUUGUGGAAGAGUGUUAGACACAUGAUGAAGAGAAACCGUGGCACAAUUUUCUUGGGACCGGUUGCAGCGUCAACUUCUAUGCUUUGAGGCUGGAAAUAGUAUCUGUGAAUGAAGCAAGCUACAGGAACACUUCAAGCACAUUCAUUUUGUUCUUUUUGAAAUGAUGAAAACAGAGCCUUGGUUUUGUUGAAAGCUGGAGCACGUGGAAUGUAAGAAGCUACCGAAUUGAUAUUAACCAAUUUUUAUUGUUUUUAUGGGUGACGAAGUGACUACAUGGAAAGCAUAACAAUUAGCAUUUGGAUUUGCAUUUGAUUUUCGGCUGGAAUGGAGGGGGCAUUAAUUGCUUGGGAGGAGAUGUGCAUUUAUGAUUGGGAGAAAGAACACCCGCAAAUUGAGUUUUCUUUAGGAAGUGAUUGGACGUUUGGCAGCAAGUAGAAUUGAUGGGAUUUUCUUGGUUUCAUUUACUUUGAAGAAGUGCUGACAUUGAUUAAUUUCCGUGAAUGAGAAAUGCAAGGGUGCGGGUCCGGUGAUAUGAUGGUGCAUCAAUUUAAGUUUGCUUUGAAUGGAAAAAUUUUCAAUUAACAUAUUGGCUUGUUUCCGUGAAGCACUGCUGGAAUAUUUUAUUACAAUUUCAUUCAAUUCUUGGCUGGUGUGUGCACAUGGGUUGCGGAAAUUGGAAGGAGGCAGCAGCUGCCACGUUGUCCAGCAAAUCACUUUUGAGUAAAAACUCUAGUCUACGUGAGUGUUGCUGCAGAGAAGAGGUUCACGGUUCCAAUUUUAUCAAUUUUGUUUUCUUGGGUGAAUACCAUUUGGUCACGUGAGUGAUAGGAAAAAUAAUGUUGUUAUUUCUUUUGUUUAAUUUGGUUUAAAUAGUAAGUUGAAUCUUUAAUUUAGUUUUGNAUUUAAAUUAAUUUGAUAGAGUUAGAUAGUUGUGUGUUAUGGUGUUAGCGNCUAGAAUUUUAUUUUGUUUUGUUUGAAUGUGUUGCUUGCCUUUAUGUCUUUAUUGAGUCUUUUAAUUUUUGCAAAACCUUUUCAAAACCCCUCCCCUUUUUCCUGUUAGACUUGACGCUGAACCACAAAUUUGGUCCUUGGGAGACGACCUAGGGGUCAUUCCCUAGUUAUACUGCACUUUAAACUGCACAUCAAAUUUGAUUGGGCGGCGACACCCA
Molecule: long non-coding RNA, 1191 nt
Filed under: Vigna radiata
Lineage: Eukaryota; Viridiplantae; Streptophyta; Magnoliopsida; Fabales; Fabaceae
Description: long non-coding RNA (VRAD_LNC011378)
Source: RNAcentral